UGUUGGGAAUGGGUAGAUAAGUGAAGACUUUGAGUUUUGGUCUUCAUUUUCACUUGUCUUCUUCCAAAAACGACCAGACCUAUUCACUUAAGCUUCUCUUCUUAUUUCUUCACUUUCAUAUUCACAUAAGAGAAUAUCAAACCCUAAGAACUCAUAGAAGUAUAGCUAGAACAAGUUCUUCACCUUUUCUAGCUGAAAAUCCUACGUUUUGAAGUUUGAAUUCAUCUAUAAUCAAGGACUCUAGCACAACCUAUAUGAGACUGAUCUUUUCACUUCAUAGACCAUAUUGGACUUGAGGUAAUGAUGUACAUAUUUAGAAGUUGACCUAGCCAAAAGCGGCCAGUCAGAGAUUUGUUCAUAUGCCAUGCUUCGAGCCAUUUUUGUAGCCGAGCUAGAAACUCUGAUUUAAUUUUGUUAGCCGCUCUAUUAUGGUUUUUGUACAAUGUAAUUUUGUAAACAUUAAAUAUUUAUAUACGUAUAUGUACAGAUUUUGA
Erythranthe guttata (spotted monkey flower) is the source of this 494-nucleotide non-coding RNA. NCBI's taxonomy places the organism in Eukaryota, Viridiplantae, Streptophyta, Magnoliopsida, Lamiales, Phrymaceae. The record is from RefSeq and is a predicted model, not a curated record.